ACGAGUGGCGGACGGGUGAGUAAUGUCUGGGAAACUGCCCGGUGGAGGGGGAUAACUACUGGAAACGGUAGCUAAUACCGUGUAACGUCGCAAGACCAAAGAGGGGGACCUUCGGGCCUCUUGCCACCGGAUGUGCCCAGAUGGGAUUAGCUUGUUGGUGAGGUAACGGCUCACCAAGGCGACGAUCCCUAGCUGGUCUGAGAGGAUGACCAGCCACACUGGAACUGAGACACGGUCCAGACUCCUACGGAAGGCAGCAG
RNAcentral lists this ribosomal RNA (260 nucleotides) under uncultured bacterium. Its description in RNAcentral is "partial 16S ribosomal RNA". It matches the Rfam family "Bacterial small subunit ribosomal RNA", at positions 91 to 354 of the family's 1533-position model. The record is from RNAcentral.